This 402-nucleotide ribosomal RNA is filed under the name uncultured Coriobacteriaceae bacterium. RNAcentral describes it as "partial 16S ribosomal RNA". It matches the Rfam family "Bacterial small subunit ribosomal RNA", at positions 355 to 774 of the family's 1533-position model. Lineage: Bacteria; Bacillati; Actinomycetota; Coriobacteriia; Coriobacteriales; Coriobacteriaceae. The record is from RNAcentral.
UGGGGAAUUUUGCGCAAUGGGCGAAAGCCUGACGCAGCAACGCCGCGUGCGGGAUGAAGGCCUUCGGGUUGUAAACCGCUUUCAGCAGGGACGAAAAUGACGGUACCUGCAGAAGAAGCCCCGGCUAACUACGUGCCAGCAGCCGCGGUAAUACGUAGGGGGCAAGCGUUAUCCGGAUUCAUUGGGCGUAAAGAGCGCGUAGGCGGUUUGUUAAGCGAGAUGUGAAAACCGGGGGCUCAACCCGCGGCCUGCAUCUCGAACUGGCAGACUUGAGUCUGGUAGAGGAAAGUGGAAUUCCAAGUGUAGCGGUGAAAUGCGCAGAUAUUUGGAGGAACACCAGUGGCGAAGGCGGCUUUCUGGGCCACGACUGACGCUGAGGCGCGAAAGCUAGGGGAGCAAACA